RNAcentral lists this long non-coding RNA (412 nucleotides) under Androctonus crassicauda. Lineage: Eukaryota; Metazoa; Arthropoda; Arachnida; Scorpiones; Buthidae. The record is from RNAcentral.
CAGAAUCAAAAUUUUUAAGAAUUGUAUUUAUUAUAUAUUUAAUAAAAAUGGACUGUUUUAACAUCAAUAGGUAAAAAUUUAUUUUUCUGGAACUAAAACACUGUUCAGAAAUCUUUAUUAUGAAAAUGAUGGGAAGAGAUCUGAAAGCAAAAGUUCUGUCACUGAAAUUCCCAAGGAUAUUUGUAUUUAUCAAGUUAUGUAAACAACUAUUUAGCAUUAGAUCAGUCAUGGAAAAGAGAAUGUAUCAGUUACUAAAGUGGAAAGCAUUCCAAAGUGAUGUUUAUAACACGAAAAAAUUGUGUGUUCAAUCUGUGGGCAUGGCAGUGCCCCCCGCCAAGUUGAGCAAGCACAGCCAUACCAUCCUUUUCUGGAAGCAACUCAGGUUACUUUUCACAUCUCCAUAUCUUUAUGU